UGACUGGGGCGGUCUCCUCCUAAAGAGUAACGGAGGAGCACGAAGGUUGGCUAAUCCUGGUCGGACAUCAGGAGGUUAGUGCAAUGGCAUAAGCCAGCUUGACUGCGAGCGUGACGGCGCGAGCAGGUGCGAAAGCAGGUCAUAGUGAUCCGGUGGUUCUGAAUGGAAGGGCCAUCGCUCAACGGAUAAAAGGUACUCCGGGGAUAACAGGCUGAUACCGCCCAAGAGUUCAUAUCGACGGCGGUGUUUGGCACCUCGAUGUCGGCUCAUCACAUCCUGGGGCUGAAGUAGGUCCCAAGGGUAUGGCUGUUCGCCAUUUAAAGUGGUACGCGAGCUGGGUUUAGAACGUCGUGAGACAGUUCGGUCCCUAUCUGCCGUGGGCGCUGGAGAACUGAGGGGGGCUGCUCCUAGUACGAGAGGACCGGAGUGGACGCAUCACUGGUGUUCGGGUUGUCAUGCCAAUGGCACUGCCCGGUAGCUAAAUGCGGAAGAGAUAAGUGCUGAAAGCAUCUAAGCACGAAACUUGCCCCGAGAUGAGUUCUCCCUGAGACUUAGAGUCUCCUGAAGGAACGUUGAAGACGACGACGUUGAUAGGCCGGGUGUGUAAGCGCAGCGAUGCGUUGAGCUAACCGGUACUAAUGAACCGUGAGGCUUAACCUUACAACGCCG
This 669-nucleotide ribosomal RNA is filed under the name Salmonella enterica subsp. enterica serovar Senftenberg. RNAcentral's name for it is "partial 23S ribosomal RNA". It matches the Rfam family "Bacterial large subunit ribosomal RNA", at positions 2270 to 2925 of the family's 2925-position model. Lineage: Bacteria; Pseudomonadati; Pseudomonadota; Gammaproteobacteria; Enterobacterales; Enterobacteriaceae. The record is from RNAcentral.